UGGCCAGGCUGGUCUCAAACUCCUGACGUCAAGUGAUCCUCCCACCUUAGCCUCCGAAAGUGCUGAGAUUACAGGCAUGAGUCACCAUGCCUGCCCAAGUUGGUUAUAGCUUUGAUAAACAAGAUUGUGAUUUAGUAACAGUAGCUUGGGUGCUACCAUCUCUUUAAAGCUUGGACUCCUAGGGAUGAUGGUAAUAAGGUGUCCAGGGUGGGCUGGGGCAGGGGCCACUGCAGACUCUGCAGGUGGGUCUCUGAGGAUAAAUAAAAUGUUUGUGGCAGAUUCCAAUACAGAAUGGGUGAGGAGUAGAUGUUUCCUGACAGGCUGCUUACUGGAUAUGGUUGCAGUGGUGGUAGAAAUGGUUUUUCAGAAACUACAUGCUAUUUGGACAUACUGUUUGGAGGUCAGUGGUCGGGGCUAGAGGAGGUGGAGUUUAGCUAUGGGAAGGUGCCUCCCUGAAUGCCUGGAACUGUGUUCUCUGGGCUGGGGGGAAACCAGGAACAUUCCCACACUCAGAGCCCCAGGCAAGGGUCCCUGCUCUGCUGCCAGAUCCUCAGCGAGUGCAUUUGCCUUCCUGGUCCUUUUUCAUGUGUACUGUGAGAGAGUGAAUUAGUCUGGUAGGUCCCAGAAUACCAUGUGGGAAUUCUAUACAGAGAAAAAAAGGGGAAAUGGAGCUGCUCUGAGGAACCUGGGGUGGGGUGAGAGUCCAAAGAGCCUUCCCCAGGCCCCCUUGGGAAUCCCUAGAACCGGACUCAGUCACACUGGAGAAGUCCUGAGUGGCUGGGAACCCAUGUCAGCAGUUCCGGUGUUCCUGGUGAGAGAGUCAGAGCAUGUGGGGCCAUGUGUCUGGGAGCAGGACCUGAAGGAGGACAGUGGACAGCAGCAGUCACAGGCAGGGUGGGUGCCUUAGCCAUGUGCUGGGGUUCUGCACCGGGGUCACCAGGCCCCUGUCCUCAUUGUCAGCAGAGCCAGAGCUGCCACCCUCUAACCCACUCAGGAAAUAGUCAAACCCUGCCUAAGGACCCCAGGAAUAAAGGGCCCAUUUAGGCCCUAACUGGGGAACUGGCCUGGCCAGGAUCUCAGCCAGGCUCUGGCAGGUGGCACCUAACUCCCAGCCCUGGAGGGCGUGGCUAAAAAGCAGCUAAAUGCACUGGUUCUGGGCGGAAAAAGCCUGGGCUCAGCUUCUGGCUUUUCCACUUCCUAUCUGUGUAAUCCUGGGCUACUCAGUUCUCUGAGCCUCAGGGGUUUUUUUGUUUGUUUAUUUUUUAUCCUUGAAAUUAGAAUGGUAAGCCUGGUGAAGAGUUGGUGAGCCGAUAUAGUUAAAGUGCUUCAUGCUAGGCCAGUUCACGUCCAGCCCUCUGUCAGUGGGAGAUGUCUGGGAGCUUCUGAAGUCUCCCAGCCAGCAGACAGCUUCCCACCCACUGAGGACCUGCCACCCUGGACUGUGGGUGUGCCUAGAGGCCCACUCUUGUGGCCC
Non-coding RNA from Chlorocebus sabaeus (green monkey), 1474 nucleotides. The record is from RefSeq and is a predicted model, not a curated record. Lineage: Eukaryota; Metazoa; Chordata; Mammalia; Primates; Cercopithecidae.